This 497-nucleotide ribosomal RNA is filed under the name uncultured bacterium. RNAcentral's name for it is "partial 16S ribosomal RNA". It matches the Rfam family "Bacterial small subunit ribosomal RNA", at positions 28 to 507 of the family's 1533-position model. The record is from RNAcentral.
GAUGAACGCUGGCGGCGUGCCUAAUACAUGCAAGUCGAGCGAACAGACGAGGAGCUUGCUCCUUUGACGUUAGCGGCGGACGGGUGAGUAACACGUGGGUAACCUACCUAUAAGACUGGGAUAACUUCGGGAAACCGGAGCUAAUACCGGAUAAUAUUUCGAACCGCAUGGUUCGAUAGUGAAAGAUGGCUUUGCUAUCACUUAUAGAUGGACCUGCGCCGUAUUAGCUAGUUGGUAAGGUAACGGCUUACCAAGGCAACGAUACGUAGCCGACCUGAGAGGGUGAUCGGCCACACUGGAACUGAGACACGGUCCAGACUCCUACGGGAGGCAGCAGUAGGGAAUCUUCCGCAAUGGGCGAAAGCCUGACGGAGCAACGCCGCGUGAGUGAUGAAGGUCUUCGGAUUGUAAAACUCUGUUAUUAGGGAAGAACAAACGUGUAAGUAACUGUGCACGUCUUGACGGUACCUAAUCAGAAAGCCACGGCUAACUACGUG